This 253-nucleotide ribosomal RNA is filed under the name uncultured bacterium. RNAcentral describes it as "partial 16S ribosomal RNA". It matches the Rfam family "Bacterial small subunit ribosomal RNA", at positions 524 to 776 of the family's 1533-position model. The record is from RNAcentral.
AACGUAGGAGGCGAGCGUUAUCCGGAGUUACUGGGCGUAAAGAGCGUGUAGGCGGGUAGGCAAGUUUGGCGUGAAAGCUCCCGGCUAAACUGGGAGAGUGCGCUGAAGACUGCGUAUCUAGAGGCGAGUAGAGGGACGUGGAAUUCCGGGAGUAGUGGUGAAAUGCGUAGAGAUCCGGAGGAACACCAGUGGCGAAGGCGACGUCCUGGGCUUGACCUGACGCUGAGACGCGACAGCACGGGGAGCGAACGGG